CCUACGGGAGGCAGCAGUGGGGAAUAUUGCACAAUGGGGGGAACCCUGAUGCAGCAACGCCGCGUGGGUGAAGAAGUACUUCGGUAUGUAAAGCCCUGUCAGCAGGGAAGAAAAUGACGGUAACUGACCAAGAAGCCCCGGCUAACUACGUGCCAGCAGCCGCGGUAAUACGUAGGGGGAAAGCGUUAUCCGGAUUUACUGGGUGUAAAGGGAGCGUAGACGGCAAGGCAAGUCUGGAGUGAAAGCCCGUGGCUCAACCACGGGACUGCUUUGGAAACUGUGUUGCUGGAGUGCAGGAGGGGUAAGCGGAAUUCCUAGGGUAGCGGUGAAAUGCGUAGAUAUUAGGAGGAACACCGGUGGCGAAGGCGGCUUACUGGACUGUAACUGACGUUGAGGCUCGAAGGCGUGGGGAGCAAACAGGAUUAGAUACCCCUGUAGUC
This 440-nucleotide ribosomal RNA is filed under the name uncultured bacterium. RNAcentral describes it as "partial 16S ribosomal RNA". It matches the Rfam family "Bacterial small subunit ribosomal RNA", at positions 338 to 795 of the family's 1533-position model. The record is from RNAcentral.